CCUAAAUGUUAUAAAUGAAAUAAUAGGGAUGGUGGCGUUCCCAUGACUGUUAACGACAAAACGUCGUCGCUCGACAUUUUAAAUGAGAUCCAUUUGACUUCUAUCUCAGCUUCCUGCUGGUUCUUUCACUAGGGGCGUCGCCUGAUUAGUGAAGAUUUAUAAUUUCAGUAACAGUAAUUUAUUGAAUUAUGUUUUUAUUAUUUCUUUCAUUAACGAAUUGAAGUGAUUGAAUCAAUCUCCCCGGGUCAUGGAUUAUAUACGGAUAUUGGAUAUGCAGUCUCGGAUUCGAGUAACCUGGUUGAUCUUUUAUGAGCUUACUGUCUUUCUCUUCAAAUUUACCGAAAUUUCGAGGUGAGUCCUCGAUGCUAAGCUUGACUGCUGCAAAUUCGCUUUCUCUAAGCUUAGUACAGUGAGGCCUAUGAGAGUGAAGAAGUACUCAUCGUUACGUACACUACUGGUGAUGAAAGAAAUUGCACUUCAUGGAGCCGAUCGUGAUUCUGUAAGACUAAGUUAGACCUUGCCUUUGUAGAUUUUGACGCCUAAUAGGUAUUUCUACUUCACGGAAAUCAGGAAACAAAGGUUUACUUAGAGAGGUAUUGUUUCUGAAAAGAGUGCAGAAUUUGUACCAGAAGAAAAGAAUAGACAAAUAUCUUUGGGUUCUUUGGAGGAGCUAGACCAUUUAAAUAGAGAACUUGUAGGUGAAGGAGAGGGUAAUCCAGUUAAUUUCAUUGAUAUAUUAUUGUCACACCCAUGGAUGGGAAACUGGUCUCAUGAAAAUUUUCUUAGAGGGGCAGGUCUAUUUUGGGGCCCUGAUUCAAAUGAAACUUCCCUAAAGAAGUCAGACUUAAAGGGUGUUAGAGACUACAGAAAUGAGGGAGCAUUUGCUGUCUUGGAGUCUCCUCAUUCCAGUAAUCCUGAGUUCAAGCGUUCAUAUAGUUAAUGAUAUGCAAAAGAUGGACCAAAUGAAGAAGAUGGAAGAUGCUUUCCAGGCCAUAGGAGAGAUGAGUUUUUCCAGCUUUGCCACCACGAGCCUGAAGUAGUUGGUAGACGGUAACGACUGAGGAGGAGAAAUUUAAUUAAUGAUGUUUUAGUUAAUAAUAAUUUAUUUAUUUAUUGAAAAAAACAACGAUCGAGUUUUUAUUAAAAAAAAAAAAGAAACAGACUCAAUUGAACACGGCGGUGUAACAUAUGACGACGGAAAGGUGAGGUGGCAAAGUGACGUCAUAAGGAAGUGGAGAGAAUAGAUUUCAUUUCGUGAAUGGAUCGGGUUGGCAUUGGAUCCGUUUUCAAUCGUGUGAACACACGUGCCACUAAAUAUCCCUAACUCCUUUUUUUUUUUU
Non-coding RNA from Carica papaya (papaya), 1340 nucleotides. The record is from RefSeq and is a predicted model, not a curated record. Lineage: Eukaryota; Viridiplantae; Streptophyta; Magnoliopsida; Brassicales; Caricaceae.